Molecule: long non-coding RNA, 340 nt
Filed under: Gallus gallus (chicken)
Lineage: Eukaryota; Metazoa; Chordata; Aves; Galliformes; Phasianidae
Description: long non-coding RNA NONGGAT003954
Source: RNAcentral
AUGGCAGUGGGCCAAAGGUGACACACCACCUCCUUGCUCUGUGUGGUCUGGGGCUAUCUUGAACUGUCAGUACCAGCAAGGCAGUGACAUCUCUGAGGAAGCCUUGCACAGAGCACCAGGUUUGGAGCCCAGGAUGCAUGAGGGGACACAGAAGGCUUUUCCUGAGCGUAGGAGCAGCCUUUAGGAAGCAAGUUGGCGCAUGGGAGUGAACCCACAGAAAGGAGUCCUCAGCAUAUGAUCACUUCUGCAGCAGCAACAAGACUUGAGGCAGGAUGGCACAAAAGCAUCACUGAGUUACUACCAACCUCUGAGAAGUGCAUCAGGAAGGUUGAGGUUCCUG